Brassica oleracea var. oleracea is the source of this 1816-nucleotide RNA transcript. RefSeq lists it as uncharacterized. Lineage: Eukaryota; Viridiplantae; Streptophyta; Magnoliopsida; Brassicales; Brassicaceae. The record is from RefSeq and is a predicted model, not a curated record. The transcript is spliced from 4 exons.
ACUCACUCCUGAGGGCUCCACAUCAGAUUCCAGGUCAGAAACUCGAGUUUCCUUGCGCUGACACGUGUCCGAGAAAUAUGAAACUCAUCGUUUCAUUUACUUUACUUGGAAAUCGGAUGGGCUUAUAUAUCGUUAAGCGUAUAUUUGGUUUGGUCAUUUUAUGGGCUUCGUUGGGCUUCAUGUUUUAUCCAAGUCUUCGAUCCCGGUAGCAAGUUAGGCUUAUCGUCUCCAAACCAAAUUUUAGGGUUCGCAAUCCUCUUCGAUCUCCAACAACGAUGAUGUUCAUAUGCACUCACCACACCAACAAUGGAGGAUCUCUGUGUGUCUCUUCAAUCAGCUAGACAUUCUUUUCUACAAACCGUUACGAGAUGCUUUGAUUCAUCUUCAUUAAUGACCGUCUUAACUCAUUCGGCCACUCCAAGCACGUUUCCUCAUUCAUUGCAUCUUCCCUUUGUACAAGGAGGUGAAUCUACAGCUAUAAAAAGAGUCUUUCCUACGGCUUCAAGUUUUUAAGGAAUUGAUAUCAAUCUCGCUUAUGGAUUUCAGACUUACGACUUCCACUUCUUUCAAUCAAGGGUCUUUAAAAAAUACGUGUUUGCGGAAGGGGAAGAAGAUUCUGGAGGAGAAAUUGAUAAGUUUGAAGUCAAGCUUUCUAGAAGAAAGAAUUGGAUCACAGGUUAGUCUAAACUUCAUGAAUAAUAUGCGUCUGGGAUUUUAUGUCUCUUUGUGGGACAGGUUACUUUGCUCUCUAAGCAGUAUAAGUAGAACUUUGAAGCAUAGAUAUUUUUUGGUUAUUGUGAUUUCAACCAUCUGUUCUUCAUAUUUUGUUUACACAUUUUUCAUUCUAGAAUGGAGACUUUAAUCAGAUCAAACAAAUCAACCACACAAAUUUUGUAGAUAUUGUUUUGUUGUAGCAUUCGUUUUACUUUGCACUUGAAGUUGUGAUGCUGGUUGCUACCUCGCGGUCGCGAUUAAACUACGAUUUCACGACAUCGGUUUUAUGCCAUACGCCAACUUAGACUGAGAUGGAAACUUUCAUUUGCUUAAAGUAUUAGGUCUUCAAACUUCAUAUCCUGUUUAUAUCUUUGGUAUCUUCGUUUCCAGAAAUUGAUGUUUCUCAUUCAGAUGGCUUUGUCUGGGUUUCAAUUGACUGAAUGGAAUAAGCAGUCUUCUGCGAAGGAGGUCAUGCACAGGACUCAAAGAGACAUGUAUGUUCAUGAAAGAAACAAUGAAGAAUAUACUCCACUACUGCACGCACAGGUUCACAUGUAAGGCUUUGACCCACAGCCACUGGGUGGCGCCGGUCCAUCAGCAGCGCCGAGCUCAAAGGUCCUCUGUUUUUAUGUUUAUUGUCAUCAUAUAUCAUUUAAGUAUUUGUGUUUGAGUCUCAUGAUCAUAUGUUUUCUCCAAACCAGACAGUUAAAAGACGUGAGUUGAAGUAUGAUCAUGAACGUAUAUGACUUGAUAGAUUUUGGAAAUAAGUUAAUUUGGAUGGCUGACAUCUUCCUUCUUUUGGCACACUUCUGAAUGAUUUUAAUUUGUAACGGAUGGAGGUAGGCCAAUGAAGUCAAGAAUCUAACGUUUGUCACUUAGGAAGACUGCUAACGACUUUGACGAAGUUAUCAGGUAAUAAUUCUUUUCGCCAUGACAUGCGUUGGUGGAAGGAGGAGGAUUCUGCAUCAUCUUCUUUGCUUCAAGUUUUUCCUUUGGUUUGCUUCAGAGUCAAGGAAAGGCAGCGUUAGCAUUUAUCUCUUGAACAAGCAGCCAGAGAAUUCUGACAAAGAAAUUCAAUGCAACUCAGGAAAUGUUAAUCAGA